AGUCGGUGAGGUAACCUUCAUGGAGCCAGCCGCCUAAGGUGGGACAGAUGAUUGGGGUGAAGUCGUAACAAGGUAGCCGUAUCGGAAGGUGCGGCUGGAUCACCUCCUUUCUAAGGA
Molecule: ribosomal RNA, 117 nt
Filed under: Peribacillus simplex
Lineage: Bacteria; Bacillati; Bacillota; Bacilli; Caryophanales; Bacillaceae
Also listed under: 1 other name
Description: Bacillus simplex partial 16S ribosomal RNA
Rfam family: Bacterial small subunit ribosomal RNA
Source: RNAcentral